UUACAGUCAAAUCACGCUGAAAACACCGGUUCUCGUUGGAUCACCGAAGUUAAGCAUCGUAGAGCCAGGUCAGUACUUAGAUGGGGGACCGCUUGGGAACACCUGGUACUGUAAG
RNAcentral lists this ribosomal RNA (115 nucleotides) under Acanthosepion pharaonis. Lineage: Eukaryota; Metazoa; Mollusca; Cephalopoda; Sepiida; Sepiidae. The record is from RNAcentral.